AUAAAAUGGAAUGGAGGACAAAUUAACCAUUCCACACAACAGGACUGGUACAGCUGUGGAGUGUUUGUCAUGCAGAUGGCAAAAGAAGUUGUUGGUGCAUUUCUAGAUAUCCCUUGCCAUUUGACUAUAAACUCAUCCAAGGAGCACAUGGAGCAUCUGCGACUGACAGUGGCAGAGGAACUUCUGAAAGCCUCAGUAUUCAAGAGGGGACAUUACUGCUCAUUAUGUGCUGACUCAAAAUCCCCGGGUGGUGGUGCAAAAACAUUUUGGAUUGAAUGUCACUGCUGCAAGAGCUGGUUUCGUGCGGCAUGCCUUUCUGUGUCAGAGAAGCAGUUCAAAAGGGCUCAAAAGGUUGACUGGAAGUGCUGCCUAUAUUUGUUUCUGCACGAUACAACGAUUUUCAAAAAUGAGGAGGAAUCACAAAGAGACACCUCAGCAUCAAGCUAUGCUGGGAUUAAGGAGUAGUAAAAUGGACAGAGCAAGAGAAGGAGUGGCGAUGACGUUCGCUCCAGAAUUGAGUAACAGGCCUACAAAUCAAGAUUUCUGCCAGGAAACUGCACGACCUGAGGAAGUUCUGGCACAUGGGGAAAAUAGCAUGUGCACUACGGCAAAGAAGAAUAUCCGCUUACGUGUCGCUAACACAACCAGAAAGAAAUCAGUCAAACCCAGAAAGACCAUAGAAGUAUUUGGACAAGCAGGUGCUGGACCUGCAGCAAAGAGCCCUGGGAAACCAAAACUUCUUCCUAGAAAGCCCAGAAUGGAUCCGAUUGGUCAUCCCUCAUUUAGAGCACUGAUGCGCAGGGAAAAGUUAAGCAAAACAUCCAGCAAUCCUCAGGUACUUACAGGUACUACAGAGGUAAAGAGUAAGUAUCUUGAGCCUACAAUUAAGGUAGAACCUCAAUUAAGAACUAACAUUACUGAUGCUGUCCUGGAUUGCAUAACCUCUGGAUCGUUCAAGAAUCAGCUCACUCUGCGCAUUGUGGGUGAAAUUGAUGAUAUACUAGCAAAAGCUGUGUCCCAGGUUCACAAGCAACAGCAUCCCGUGAGAUUCAGUGCAGCAGGGGAUAAGAUAAACAACAUCUCCCGGGAACAACAAUCAAGCAACAAUGUUUUCAUGCCUGGCUUCAGUGAUGGUGUGGCAUCUAUGAUUGGUUGUGCACUGAUAGAACUUAGAGAAGAUGUGAAAAAAACUUUUACAAGCCAGUCACACGAAUUUCAGACAGCCUCACCAACGGCAUGCGAUUCUACAACAGAAAUAGUGGAGAGUCUCUUUGAAAGUAUGCUUGAUUCCUUGAUUCCUCAACUGAAACCAGAUGUUAGCACUGAAAAGGAUCCUAGCACGAUUGAUUCUCUUUAUAGCUAUGAGUUUGAUACAGUGUCUGAUAGUAUCCUUCCCAGCACUGACUCAGAUGUCAACCAGAGUCCAGUCCAUGAGCCAAGAGGAGGUGCUGAUGACGAGUCUAGCAUCACAGCUCAGGACAUUGAGACAUUAGACAUUGUGAAAGAGAGAGCUGACUCCCCAAGAAGAUCUACCAAAGUCCCAUUCUCCACAGUAUUUGACCAGUCUUCUGGACCUGAAGUUAAGGCCAAAGAUGAGGUUGAGGGCAUCUUGGCUGCUUCUGGAAGCAUGAGCCCCCUUGAUGACCCUCUGACUUCAAGAGUCAAAUCUGACUCCUAUUUGGAUGCAAGCGUUCUUGAGGUCACUGCUACUUCUUCAACAGAAAAUGUUGACCACAUGUCAAGAUCUGAUGAAGUUGCAGAAGAAGGACUUUUGGCUAAAUCAGAUGUUGAGCUUGAGCAAAUCAUGGCUGCUCCUUCUGAGGAAAACACUCCUUCUGACAUUACAUCCCAAAGCCUUCACCAGGAAUGUACUAGCCCUGUCCCUUCACCACCUUCUAGUGAUAAGCCAACCUCCCCAAGAGGAUCUGCCAGGAGAAGGGCAUGUCCUGUAAAAGUCAGCUCUUUGCCAAACAUAUUCUCUGACAGAGGAGAUGGCAUCUUUGACCAGUCUCACCAAAAGUUAGAGAGUGUUGACAAGCGUAGACUUUCUCUGACUGGCAUGGAAAUGGGUUCUUCUGAAAACAGAAGCGGCCUUGAUGGGCCUCUGAGUUCAUCUGAAGCAUCUGAUGUUGAAGAAGCUGCAGCAAAAUCAGCUGGUUACAAAGCAGUACUCUGUUGAAAUUAUUCUGAUGUAUUAAAUUAGUGCAAAUAAAUGAACCAUCCAUUCAUUAUCUUUUUACACUGUUCUUUCUUGUUUCCAAAUUGUAGCCUCCCCAAGAAGAUUGUUGUGGGAAAUAAUCUUUCCAGCUUAACAAAAAACUUCAGAGACAGAGGGUUUGUAGCUGUCAAAAAGUAAUUAAACCAGUG
Ictalurus punctatus (channel catfish) is the source of this 2367-nucleotide long non-coding RNA. The record is from Ensembl. NCBI's taxonomy places the organism in Eukaryota, Metazoa, Chordata, Actinopteri, Siluriformes, Ictaluridae.